RNAcentral lists this ribosomal RNA (497 nucleotides) under uncultured bacterium. RNAcentral describes it as "partial 16S ribosomal RNA". It matches the Rfam family "Bacterial small subunit ribosomal RNA", at positions 28 to 507 of the family's 1533-position model. The record is from RNAcentral.
GAUGAACGCUGGCGGCGUGCCUAAUACAUGCAAGUCGAGCGAACGGACGAGAAGCUUGCUUCUCUGAUGUUAGCGGCGGACGGGUGAGUAACACGUGGAUAACCUACCUAUAAGACUGGGAUAACUUCGGGAAACCGGAGCUAAUACCGGAUAAUAUUUUGAACCGCAUGGUUCAAAAGUGAAAGACGGUCUUGCUGUCACUUAUAGAUGGAUCCGCGCUGCAUUAGCUAGUUGGUAAGGUAACGGCUUACCAAGGCAACGAUGCAUGGCCGACCUGAGAGGGUGAUCGGCCACACUGGAACUGAGCCACGGUCCAGACUCCUACGGGAGGCAGCAGUAGGGAAUCUUCCGCAAAGGGCGAAAGCCUGACGGAGCAACGCCGCGUGAGUGAUGAAGGUCUUCGGAUCGUAAAACUCUGUUAUUAGGGAAGAACAUAUGUGUAAGUAACUGUGCACAUCUUGACGGUACCUAAUCAGAAAGCCACGGCUAACUACGUG